ACUCAAAUGAAUUGACGGGGGCUCACACAAGCGGUGGAGCAUGUGGCUCAAUUCGAAGCAACGCGAAGAACCUUAUCCUGGGCUUGACAUGUACGGAUUAGCUCCUUGAAAGAGGAGUAACGCGGCUUGCCGUGGAACGUACACAGGUGCUGCAUGGCUGUCGUCAGCUCGUGCUGUGAAGUGUCGGGUUAAGUCCCUUAACGAGCGAAACCCCUACCGUUAGUUGCCAUCAGGUCAUGCUGGGCACUCUAGCGGGACUGCCGGUGUUAAACCGGAGGAAGGUGGGGAUGACGUCAAGUCCUCAUGGCCUUUAUGCCCAGGGCUGCACACGUGCUACAAUGGCGCAUACAAAACGAAGCAAUGCGGCAACGCGGAGCAAAUCGGUAAAAAUGCGCCCCAGUUCAGAUUGCAGUCUGCAACUCGACUGCAUGAAGUUGGAAUCGCUAGUAAUCGGGGAUCAGCUACGCCCCGGUGAAUAUGUUCCUGAGCCUUGUACACACCGCCCGU
This 507-nucleotide ribosomal RNA is filed under the name uncultured bacterium. RNAcentral's name for it is "partial 16S ribosomal RNA". It matches the Rfam family "Bacterial small subunit ribosomal RNA", at positions 899 to 1397 of the family's 1533-position model. The record is from RNAcentral.